ACAGUCAGCAGCUGACAGAAUCCACACAUUGGUUUCCUUACCUAUGGAGUGAGGGCUAUUAUGGUGGAAAAGGCCAAGUAGAAGCCACUAGAACUAUCUGUACUUAGGAAAAUAGUAAACCAAAAGUAAUGCUCAAUUCCUAUAGGGACUGAAGAGAUUAGUGCCACCAUAAGUACUUGAAGGAAGGCAGGGUGGUGAUUCCUACCAGAUCUCCAUUCAACUCGCCUGUUUAGCCUGAGCAGAAGACAGAUGGAUCUUGGAGAAAAACAGUGGAUUAUCACACACUGAACUAGGUGGUGACUCCAAUUGCAGCUGCUGUACCAGAUGUAUUGCUUGAGCAAAUUAACACAACCUCUGGUUCCUGGUAUGCAGCUACCUGGAAUCUUGAUUGCCUUUUCUUUCCACAUCACAUUGGCCCAUUACAUUGAUGACAUUAUGCUCACUGGACCUAAUGAGUGAGACGUAGCAACUACUCCAGACCUAUUGGAACUGACUUCACCUGCAACAGAGCUUGGAGAAGCUGAAGCCUAAGGGUGCUCUAAAGCAGGGGUCCCCAACCUCCGGGCUACAGACCGAUACCCAUCCAUGGCCUGUUAGGAACCCGGCUGCAGAGCAGGAG
Molecule: long non-coding RNA, 619 nt
Organism: Symphalangus syndactylus (siamang)
Lineage: Eukaryota; Metazoa; Chordata; Mammalia; Primates; Hylobatidae
Source: RefSeq, a predicted model, not a curated record